UUUCAAUGAUGUCCGCCAAGUCAGUUAGAAGACGGAGACGUAUUUUUUAACAGCGUGUUGUGUCGCUCAUACUGACUCUAGCCAGGUCUGCUGGUGUAAUUACUGGUGCUAUUAUUGGCAGUAUAUCUCUGGUUGUGAUAGUGGUCGUCAUAAUAAUAGUAUGUUGUCGUGCUGCAUCCAGGGGAAGAAUGGGUACUGUGAUCACAACAACUACAACACCCACAGUCAGUUACAUUAAUACUGAAGCUCCACAAUCAACAGUUACCACGUAUCCAGACACAACUUCAAAUCUGGAAUCAAGGUACGCUCCACCUUCUUACGAUUCUGCUGUUUCAGCUUAUCCCCCUCAACCGAUGCCUAACUCUACGUACCCACCACAGCCUGUAUAUCCACCAGCGGAAACAAAGUAAACGUUAUUGAGCCGUCCAAUCAUAAAAAACGACCUUACAAUCAGCUAUGAAAAAACUAUAAAACGGAUGAGGAAUUUGAACGAGAAUGUGUAUAAUUCCUCAAACAUACUUUAUGCAAGAGCUAAAUCUGCCUAUAGCAGGUCUUUCUUUAGGCCUGAAAUGUUAUCUAAAUUAUUAAUUAGACAUUAAUUAACUUAGCCAGACCAUAAUCAACUCCCGAUGCCAUCGGAUAUCUCCGAUAUUCAGUCUUAGCUUCGAACAACCAGUACGGUGGUUGCAAUUUGUGCACACGUCUUGUCAAACCUUCAAAGGAUAAUAACGUCGCUGGCAAUAGAGUAAUUUGAAUAAAAUUUUCAAAUUAUUUAUUUUACAUUAUCUAUUUUUGAACUAUUAUAGCAAGAAUGGCUAGCUCUUUAUCUAAAUCAUACACAAUGUAUCUUUAACAUGAAAAUGACAAAUAGGCCAUUCCCGUGCUGUAGAAUUACAUAUCUUUAGUUGUAGCAGCAAACGGCCCAAAAGUAGUGAACAUAAUUAUGAUGGCACAUUCGGUAAAGGAUAGUGAAGCACAUUUUUAUUCUAGCAGAUAUUACUAUAAUGCUGGACAAUAAUCCCUAUGUGGCAUUUAGUCUGACUAAAAUACAGAUUUAUAUUUCGUUCUGUUUUUCUACUUUCGAUGGUCUACACUACAUGAAGAUCUAAUCAGUUGUACGAGGGGUUUUUGACCAUAUGAGUCAGACAUUGGAUUAAUCAAUCAGCGUUGACGUUUCUAGUGGUUUACCCACAGUUCCGUGCAUGGCAUGUCAAAAAGUCGUCGUAACAAAUGGUUUCAUUGGCUAAUCCCUCACGCCAUCCAGAACGCCUGUUAUAUAACAACUCUUCCAGAUCCUAGUGUAGUACAGACAGAUGAAACGAAAUUUUGAACUAUAAAAAACCGAACCGAAACAAGAUCUAUAUUUUCAUCAGAUUAAGUGACAUUGAGCGACUGAGCACAAUAUAAAAAACACAACAAAAGUUAUACGGAUAACGAUCACUGGUUUGUACUCAUAUAUUACGACUUUUCGGCAAGUUUCUCUUAUAGUUAUCAAGAACAAACGAUUUUUGUUUGUUUACCAUAUAAAUUGUGUUGUUUUGUUUUAUCAUUGGGGUCAACAAGAUACAGAUUCUAAAAUUGUCUACACUGAAAUAUUAUUUAUUUUCCAUUAAUUCUUCCAUCUCUUUAUAUAGCGAAAUAAUUUAACAUAUCCUCAUUCGUAAAGCUGAGUUUAAGGAAUGCAAUAGGCUGAUUUUUAUAUAAUCGGUAUUGUUUGUGAUAUUUGAAUGUAUAUUCAUUGUUUUGACUGGAAACUCACAAAAGAAUGAAACUGAAAUGAAACGGUGUUUAACGUCCUUACUAUUCUGCUUCUGCUGGGCCAGUGAAGGCGGGUAUACACCAUACAUUGUGCUAUGCGGGAAAUUUUGUCCGGGCAGCGGCUUUAUGGCCUACAUAUCGAAUUCAAACUGCUAUGGGAUAUUUUACAUGCACGCCAGUGUAUACACGGGUCCUCGGUUUUUCCGACUUGACAGCUGUUCUUGUCCGGCCCCGUCCUGCACCACUGACAAGGGGAAACCACGCCGGAAAAUACCGAUAAACUUUCUCGGCCAAUACAGGGAUCGAACACGCGACCUCCAGGGUAGCAAGUCAGCGUUUUACCCACUUAGCCACCGUGGCUCCGAGUAGAUGUUUAAAAGAAAGCGUUAGGGCUUCCAUUAAUUCUAUUGGAUUUAUGAAGAAAAAUAAAAAUAUGUUUUUAUUAUUAUUUGCUAUAUCUAAACAUUAUAUAUUAAAGAAUUAAUUUUGUGUAUGAUCAUUAACCACAAUACGUUGAAUAUUGACACAGGCGCUGGUCCAGGGGGUGGGGGGCACCCGGCGCCGAACAAUUUUUUGCCCCAUAUAUUCUCGCGGGAAAGGAGAACAAAAAUAAUUAAAAAUGGUAGCGAUCCCCGUCGUAAUUUACUCCGAAACGAGCCGGUUGGUGACUUGGUUGAUUGUCCGUCAGUCCGCCCUUCCGAGGGCCGGGCUUCGCACUCCCAAGUGGGGGCAGCACGCCCCCGCCCCCUUUUCUGAAAAUCCUGGAUCCGCCCCUGUGACACAUUGUAUAUAUUCCAUGAAAAUGCACUGUUUUCACAACCGUAUUUAUUAACCAUAAUACGUUGUAUAUAUUAACAUAUUGUAUAUAUUCCAUGAAAAUGCACUGUUUUCACAACCGUAUUUAUUAACCAUAAUACGUUGUAUAUAUUAACAUAUUGUAUAUAUUCCAUGAAAAUGAAUUGUUUUCACAUGAAUAAAAACGUUUUUCAAUUUGUUAUCUCUGUAACGGAUUUAAAAUUUGUUGGCAUAAAAGCGGUGGACACACUAGUCGAAUGAUUAGGCCGAAUCAUUCGGUCGAAUCAAUCGGCGUCGACAUUCGCCUAGUGUGCCCACUUUCAUUCGGUCGAAUGAUUCACCUAGUGCGUCCGCUUCGCCGAAGCAUUCGCCCGAAUGUAAAAUGCAUUAGCCAAUCACCACUCAUCAUCCACUCAUAUCGAGAAAUCACGUGAUUGUUUGAAGACAUGGUCGCCGCCAUGUUUAAUCAUGUGAUGCAAUCUACUGGUGAAUCGGCCGAAGCCUUCGCCCAGGGCGUCCGAUUGAUUCAACCAUCCUGCUUUCUCGCUUUACUGAUCAUUUUCUUAGCGAGAUAAGCCCAUGAGAUAAGGCAACCCAACCUUUGUCAAGUAAGAUUUAGAUAAAGAGCAGGUCAUUCUUGCUAUAAUACAAGUAGUUCAAAAAUAGAUAAUGAAAGUUACUUUAUUCUGAACGACGUGUUGAGCGUUUGUAGUUUGGACAAGAUGUAGCAACGGUACUUAAUGAAGUUGCAUAAGUUUUGGACCAUUUAUUACAUAGACAAAUAUUUUAGUAUUUGAUAAAAUAAAGGACAUCAUUCUGGAAAGAGACUGCCUCGUGAACGACACCUUCACAACUUUGCAACCAAU
This is a long non-coding RNA of Patella vulgata (common limpet), 3419 nucleotides long. RefSeq lists it as uncharacterized. NCBI's taxonomy places the organism in Eukaryota, Metazoa, Mollusca, Gastropoda, Patellidae. The transcript has 3 exons. The record is from RefSeq and is a predicted model, not a curated record.